UACGGGGGGAGCAAGCGUUGUUCGGAUUUACUGGGCGUAAAGGGCGCGUAGGCGGCAAUUCAAGUCAGCUGUGAAAUCUCCGGGCUUAACUCGGAACGGUCAGCUGAUACUGCUUUGCUAGAGUGCAGAAGGGGCAAUCGGAAUUCCUGGUGUAGCGGUGAAAUGCGUAGAGAUCAGGAAGAACACCGGUGGCGAAGGCGCUCUGCUAGGCCGCAACUGACACUGAGGGACGAAAGCUAGGGGAGCGAAUGGG
RNAcentral lists this ribosomal RNA (253 nucleotides) under uncultured bacterium. RNAcentral's name for it is "partial 16S ribosomal RNA". It matches the Rfam family "Bacterial small subunit ribosomal RNA", at positions 524 to 776 of the family's 1533-position model. The record is from RNAcentral.